This 1176-nucleotide long non-coding RNA is filed under the name Homo sapiens (human). RNAcentral describes it as "HSALNT0310097". Lineage: Eukaryota; Metazoa; Chordata; Mammalia; Primates; Hominidae. The record is from RNAcentral.
CUGACAACCUGUGUGACUCAACAGAGGCAGCCAUAACCCUCCUAGGUACACAACUCCAGUGACCUGGGAAUCUCACCCCUAACCCCCACAGCAGCCACAGCAAGAGCUGCCCAAGGAGAGUCUGAGCUCAGAACACCUGGCCCAACCCCCACCUGAUGGUCCCUCCUUAUCCAGCCUGGUACCUGAAGACAAAGGCCAUAUAACCUUGGGAGUUCUAGGGCCCCGCCCACUGCCGGUCCCUCUCCACGCUACUACAGCUGAUGCUUUCUGGAAAUGACCACCUCGUGGCAGGAGGCCAACCAGCACAAAAAUAGAGUAUUAAACCACCAAAGCUAAGGAUCCUCAUGGAGUCCACUGCACUCCCCGCUCCCCCCGCUAACUCCACCAGAACAGGCGCUGGAAUCCACGCCUGACAGAUCCACAGAUGGUUCACAUCACAGGACUCUGUGUGGACAACCCUCAGUACCAGCCUGGAGCCGAGUAGACUCGCUGGGUGGCUAGACCCAGAGGAGAAACAGCAAUCACUGCAGUUCGUCUCACAGGAAGCCACAUCCAUAGGAAAAGGGGGAGAGUACUACAUCAAGUGAACACCCCUUGGGACAAAGGAAUCUGAACAACAGUCUUCAGACCUAGACAUUCCUUCUGACAGAGACUACUCAAAUGAGAAGGAACCAGAAAACCAACCCUGGUAAUAUGACAAAACAGGGCUCUUUAACACCCCCCCAAAAAUCACACCAGCUCACCAGCAAUGGAUCCAAACUAAAAAGAAAUCCUGAUUUUCCUGAAAAAGAAUUCAGGAGGUUAGUUAUUAAGCUAACCAGAGAGGGACCGGAGAAUGAUGAAGCCCAAUGCAAGGAAAUCCAAAAAAAUGAUACAAGAAGUGAAGAGAAAAACAUUCAUGGAAAUAGAUAGCUUAAAGAAAAAAACAAUAAAAAAUUCAGGAAACUUUGGACGCACUUUUAGAAAUGCAAAAUGCUCUGGAAAGAUGGUAUACAUAAACCACUUAAUGCCCCGCACACGGGAACUAACUUUCUCAAGCUACUAGGCUGCUCUAUCCAUCCCUUCAGGGCCACUCAGGAAGUAAGCUCUGGGCCCCAAACUGUGAUGUUUCAUUCAUGUCCAAGAGCAGAGGGAAAACCAGCCAAGAUGGGACAACAAUCAAAGCAGAGAGUAAAG